ACUCGCUUUCCCGUGGUGCUUUGCGCGGCAGCGACCUGCAGGCCUGCCUGAGGGCCGACACAGCGGCGCGACAGCCGCUAGCUCCUGCCCUGCCAUGGGCUCCCUGCUCAGCCGCCGCAUCGCCGGCGUGGAGGAUAUCGACAUCCAGGCCAACUCAGCCUACCGCUACCCGCCCAAGUCCGGCAACUACUUUGCUAGCCACUUCUUCAUGGGCGGCGAGAAGUUCGACAUGCCACAUCCCGAGGGCUACCUUUUUGGGGAGAACAUGGACCUCAACUUUCUGGGCAACCGCCCCGUCCAGUUUCCCUAUGUGACCCCAGCCCCUCAUGAGCCAGUAAAGACCCUUCGGAGCCUGGUGAACAUCCGUAAAGACUCCCUGCGUCUGGUCAGGUACAAAGAAGAUGUUGACAGCCCCAUAGAGGAGAACGGGAAGCAGAAGGCUUUAUACAGUCUUGAAUUCACCUUUGAUGCAGAUGCCCGGGUGGCCAUUACCAUCUACUGUCAAGCAACAGAGGAGCUGAUUGGUGGCAUGGCUGUCUACAGCACAAAGAAUCCUCCUCUGCAAUCGGAGACGGUGCACUACAAGCGAGGAGUGAGCCAGCAGUUCUCCCUGCCGUCCUUCAAGAUCGACUUCUCCGACUGGAAGGAUGAAGAGCUGAACUUUGAUCUUGACCGGGGCGUUUUUCCAGUGGUCAUCCAAGCCACGGUAGACGAAGGCGAUGUUGUUGUGGAAGUGACUGGCCAUGCCCACAUCCUCUUGGCUGCCUUCGAGAAGCACGUUGAUGGCAGCUUCUCUGUAAAGCCCUUGAAACAGAAGCAGAUUGUGGAUCGGGUGAGUUACCUGCUGCAGGAGAUCUACGGCAUUGAGAACAAGAAUAACCAAGAGACCAAGCCCUGCGAUGAUGAGAACAGCGACAACAGCAACGAGUGUGUGGUGUGUCUCUCGGACCUGCGGGACACUCUCAUCCUGCCCUGCAGGCACCUCUGUCUGUGCAACUCCUGUGCCGACACCCUGCGCUACCAGGCCAACAACUGUCCCAUCUGCCGUUUGCCCUUCCGUGCGCUGCUGCAGAUCCGGGCAGUGAGGAAGAAGCCGGGUGCCUUGUCACCACUCUCCUUCAGCCCCGUCUUGGCCCAGACUCUGGAUCGGGAGGAGCAGUCGUGCUCGGACAACAUCCCCCCAGGGUACGAGCCCAUUUCCCUGCUGGAAGCCCUGAACGGCCUGCGCUCCGUCUCGCCCUCCAUCCCCUCGGCUCCCCUCUAUGACGAGAUCAGCUACUCUGGGGUGCUGGACGGCCUCCCUCCCUCCAGCAGGCCCCUGGUGGGGCUCGACCGAGGAGGCCUGGAGAACAGCCACUCAAAGAGCAAGCGCAGCAAGUCUCCGGACAGUGCUCUCCGGUCCCCCUCCUCACCAAUCCAUGAAGAGGACGAGGAGAAAUUCUCGGAAGAGCUGGCCCUGGAGCCGCCUGUUGCUGGGACGGGGCACAUCCUGUGUGAAGACAGCUCCCCUGAGAGCCUGGCAGCUGAAGAAGCCAAGGUGGUCGCUGCCCUGCCACAAGGUAGCCAGGAUCUUGUCCAGGAGAGUAGCAAAUCUUGUGAGGCCAAGGUCCUCCGGAAAAUGGAAAGUGAGCUGCCUGCUGAUGUCUACCUGCCAGGAAGAUCGAGCCGCUGCAGGAGCCUUGCAGAUCAAUAUAAGAGGCCCAGCUGUGUGUUCUGGGUCCAAAGAGGGCGAGAAGCAGUGGCUCAAGACGGGGCCUGGUCAGUGUCUGUUUGCGGGUAGGGUGGGGCAGAUGGGAACCAUUCCCUCUUGGAGCACCAUGUUUGGCUGGACAAGGGACGUCAUCUAUUCUGAGCUUUUUUUCUAACUUCUCCCUCCUUUCUGUCUGCCCUCUGGCCCUGCCCCGCCUGGGCAGCCCUUGGCCCGGAUGCCUGCUCUGUUGGGAUAGAGGAGUAAGCCGGGUCUUCUGACUUCACCGGUGCCCUCCCAAACCGUGGGAGCAGCAAUUCCGGGCAGCCCUUCCUUUUCCUUCAGCCUCACCUCUGUGUUGAAAGUGGGCCGAACCUGUCCUAAGUACCUGGCCGAAGAAUCAAACUCCAAGCACCAUCCACCUGCAAGAAGCCAGCCCCUUUCCCCUCCCUCCUGGCCAGAAGGGACACAACUUCAGACGCAGCAAGAUGGACACAUUUUUCUUCUUUGGGCCGGUCUCGGGCCAGCACCCUCUCUUUUCUGGAUAUGUGUCUCUGUAUAGACAUGCAUGACCCCCUUGUAGUCGUGAUGGGAACGACCCCUUCCCGGUCUGCUGCCAUGGACUGUCCUCUCCCCAGUGGGGACCCUUUUCAAGCCUCUGUUCUCUUGCUUAGCCAUUCUUGGAUGCAGUCAGCCCCUUGGGGCCUCUGCAAGAGCAGCUGGGGUGAAGUGGCUCCCCACAUCGAGGCCUGCGAGUUACAGGGCUGUUCUUCCCAUCUCUCACCAGGUGCAGCACCUGCCACCUGCUGAUUGUAGCCACAGCUCUGGGACUUUCCCCCCCUCCAGGCCGGCCCUCAUGACUUGUGCAGGAGGUCCCUUACUCUGCUGCCAGCCACUCUCCCCUGCCCUCCCCACCUCCCGGCGAGUCUCUUCUAGUGCCUGUCUUCUUUCCACACCUAGAAGGUGUGUUCCUAUAUUUAUAGUAAUAAACCUUUUGGUGUCAC
RNA transcript from Crotalus tigris (Tiger rattlesnake), 2691 nucleotides. It is a transcript of the gene named mahogunin ring finger 1, with no coding region annotated. The transcript is spliced from 17 exons. The record is from RefSeq and is a predicted model, not a curated record. Lineage: Eukaryota; Metazoa; Chordata; Lepidosauria; Squamata; Viperidae.